CACCCGGUCCCAUACCGAACCCGGUAGUUAAGCCUUCCAGCGCCGAUGGUACUGCACGAGGGAUCGUGUGGGAGAGUAGGACGCCGCCGGAA
Molecule: ribosomal RNA, 92 nt
Filed under: Cutibacterium avidum
Lineage: Bacteria; Bacillati; Actinomycetota; Actinomycetes; Propionibacteriales; Propionibacteriaceae
Source: RNAcentral